This 461-nucleotide ribosomal RNA is filed under the name uncultured bacterium. Its description in RNAcentral is "partial 16S ribosomal RNA". It matches the Rfam family "Bacterial small subunit ribosomal RNA", at positions 338 to 795 of the family's 1533-position model. The record is from RNAcentral.
CCUACGUGUGGCUGCAGUGAGGAAUAUUGGUCAAUGGGCUUACGCCUGAACCAGCCAAGUCGCGUGAGGGAAGACUGCCCUAUGGGUUGUAAACCUCUUUUGUCAGGGAGUAACGCCGGCCACGUGUAGCUGGAUUGAGAGUAUUUGAAGAAAAAGCAACGGCUAAUUCCGUGCCAGCAGCCGCGGUAAUACGGAGGACGCGAGCGUUAUCCGGAUUUAUUGGGUUUAAAGGGUGCGUAGGGGGGAAGCCAAGUCAGCUGUGAAAACUACGGGCUUAACGUGAAAACUGCAGUUGAAACUGGUUUUCUUGAGUAAAGUUGAGGUUGGCGGAAUUCGGGGUGUAGCGGUGAAAUGCUUAGAUAUUCCGAAGAACACCGAUGGCGAAGGCAGCCGACUAGACUUUAACUGACACUGAGGCUCGAAAGUGUGGGGAGCAAACAGGAUUAGAUACCCCUGUAGUC